GCCGGGCGCGAUGGCGCGUGCCUGUAGUACCAGCUACUCGGGUGGCUGAGGUGGGAGGAUCACUUGAGCCCAGGAGUUCUGGGCUGUAGUGCGCUACGCUGAUCAGGCGUCCGCACUAAGUUCGGCAUCAAUAUGGUGACCUCCCGGGAGCGGGGUACCACCAGGUUGCCUAAGGAGGGGUGAGACGGACCAGGUUGGAAACAGAGCAGGUCAAAACUCCCAUGCUGAUCAGUAGUGGGAUCGCGCCUGUGAAUAGCCACUGCACUCCAGCCUAGGCAACAUAGCAAGACCUCGUCUCU
Molecule: unclassified non-coding RNA, 299 nt
Organism: Cebus imitator (Panamanian white-faced capuchin)
Lineage: Eukaryota; Metazoa; Chordata; Mammalia; Primates; Cebidae
Rfam family: Metazoan signal recognition particle RNA
About the family: The signal recognition particle (SRP) is a universally conserved ribonucleoprotein. It is involved in the co-translational targeting of proteins to membranes. The eukaryotic SRP consists of a 300-nucleotide 7S RNA and six proteins: SRPs 72, 68, 54, 19, 14, and 9.
Source: Ensembl